UGUGGAGGAAACAGCUGGGAAGCCCCCACAGGACCCCCCUCCUCCACAGAAGCUGAAAUGCUUCCAGGACAUCCUGGACAUCAUUCACAGUCUGAGUGAUGAGGAAUGGAGAGCUCUGACGAACGAUGUGCCGCAAGCAAGAUCAAAAGUGGAGUUUGCGUCGUUGUGCACAAACAUUGUGCUCUCUGUGGGAAAAUCAGCUGUGAAGAGUUUCCUGCCGACUCUCAUUCACACUCUGGGCAUAGAAG
This is a long non-coding RNA of Colossoma macropomum (tambaqui), 248 nucleotides long. RefSeq lists it as uncharacterized. NCBI's taxonomy places the organism in Eukaryota, Metazoa, Chordata, Actinopteri, Characiformes, Serrasalmidae. The transcript is spliced from 3 exons. The record is from RefSeq and is a predicted model, not a curated record.